RNAcentral lists this ribosomal RNA (254 nucleotides) under uncultured bacterium. Its description in RNAcentral is "partial 16S ribosomal RNA". It matches the Rfam family "Bacterial small subunit ribosomal RNA", at positions 524 to 776 of the family's 1533-position model. The record is from RNAcentral.
UACGAAGGGGGCUAGCGUUGCUCGGAAUCACUGGGCGUAAAGCGCACGUAGGCGGAUCUUUAAGUCAGGGGUGAAAUCCCAAGGCUCAACCUUGGAACUGCCUUUGAUACUGGGGAUCUCGAGUCCGGAAGAGGUUGGUGGAACUGCGAGUGUAGAGGUGAAAUUCGUAGAUAUUCGCAAGAACACCGGUGGCGAAGGCGGGUCUCUGGGCCGAUACUGACGCUGAGGAGCGAAAGCGUGGGGAGCGAAACAGG